UCCGGUAUAGUGUAAUGGUUAACAUACCUCCCUCUCUCGGGAGACGCUCGGGGUUCGAUUCCCUGUGCCGGAU
Molecule: transfer RNA, 73 nt
Filed under: Hypoxylon rubiginosum
Lineage: Eukaryota; Fungi; Ascomycota; Sordariomycetes; Xylariales; Hypoxylaceae
Description: tRNA-Glu
Rfam family: tRNA
About the family: Transfer RNA (tRNA) molecules are approximately 80 nucleotides in length. Their secondary structure includes four short double-helical elements and three loops (D, anti-codon, and T loops).
Source: RNAcentral